RNAcentral lists this ribosomal RNA (398 nucleotides) under Serratia marcescens. Its description in RNAcentral is "bacterial LSU rRNA". It matches the Rfam family "Bacterial large subunit ribosomal RNA", at positions 1087 to 1488 of the family's 2925-position model. Lineage: Bacteria; Pseudomonadati; Pseudomonadota; Gammaproteobacteria; Enterobacterales; Yersiniaceae. The record is from RNAcentral.
AGACAGCCAGGAUGUUGGCUUAGAAGCAGCCAUCAUUUAAAGAAAGCGUAAUAGCUCACUGGUCGAGUCGGCCUGCGCGGAAGAUGUAACGGGGCUAAACCAUGCACCGAAGCUGCGGCAGCGACGCUUAGGCGUUGUUGGGUAGGGGAGCGUUCUGUAAGCCGUUGAAGGUGGCCUGUGAGGGUUGCUGGAGGUAUCAGAAGUGCGAAUGCUGACAUAAGUAACGAUAAAGCGGGUGAAAAGCCCGCUCGCCGGAAGACCAAGGGUUCCUGUCCAACGUUAAUCGGGGCAGGGUGAGUCGACCCCUAAGGCGAGGCUGAAAAGCGUAGUCGAUGGGAAACAGGUUAAUAUUCCUGUACUUGGUGUUACUGCGAAGGGGGGACGGAGAAGGCUAGGCU